Lampris incognitus (smalleye Pacific opah) is the source of this 351-nucleotide long non-coding RNA. RefSeq lists it as uncharacterized. The transcript is spliced from 3 exons. The record is from RefSeq and is a predicted model, not a curated record. NCBI's taxonomy places the organism in Eukaryota, Metazoa, Chordata, Actinopteri, Lampriformes, Lampridae.
CGGGCUGUCAUAGUAAAAGUGCACCGGGGCAUUGAACCGGACAGUUAAUUGAUCCCUUCUCUCCAGUGCCUGCUUGGACAGUCUCCAGCCCCUUGCAACCCUGAGAUGGAUCUUGCUGGGUAUAAUGAAUGGAUGGAUCUUGACAUGACCUGUUCUAAUUACAUGAGGAGUUUCUCCAGGGGGAUGUAGCUUGUGGGAGGAUCACGCUAUUCCCCCCAGUUCCCCCUCCCCCCGAACAGACGCCCUGACUGACCAGAGGAGGCGCUAGUGCAGCGACCAGGACACAUACCCAACUCCGGCUUCCCAUCCGCAGACACAGCCAAUUGUGGCUGUAGGACACCCGACCGAGCC